Molecule: ribosomal RNA, 497 nt
Filed under: uncultured bacterium
Lineage: Bacteria
Description: partial 16S ribosomal RNA
Rfam family: Bacterial small subunit ribosomal RNA
Source: RNAcentral
GAUGAACGCUGGCGGCGUGCCUAAUACAUGCAAGUCGAGCGAACGGACGAGAAGCUUGCUUCUCUGAUGUUAGCGGCGGACGGGUGAGUAACACGUGGAUAACCUACCUAUAAGACUGGGAUAACUUCGGGAAACCGGAGCUAAUACCGGAUAAUAUUUUGAACCGCAUGGUUCAAAAGUGAAUGACGGUCUUGCUGUCACUUAUAGAUGGAUCCGCGCUGCAUUAGCUAGUUGGUAAGGUAACGGCUUACCAAGGCAACGAUGCAUAGCCGACCUGAGAGGGUGGUCGGCCACACUGGAACGGAGACACGGUCCAGACUCCUACGGGAGGCAGCAGUAGGGAAUCUGCCGCAAUGGGCGAAAGCCUGACGGAGCAACGCCGCGUGAGUGAUGAAGGUCUUCGGAUCGUAAAACUCUGUUAUUAGGGAAGAACAUAUGUGUAAGUAACUGUGCACAUCGUGACGGUACCUAAUCAGAAAGCCACGGCUAACUACGUG